RNAcentral lists this transfer RNA (71 nucleotides) under Muribaculaceae bacterium. RNAcentral describes it as "tRNA-Cys". It matches the Rfam family "tRNA". From Rfam's summary of the family: Transfer RNA (tRNA) molecules are approximately 80 nucleotides in length. Their secondary structure includes four short double-helical elements and three loops (D, anti-codon, and T loops). Lineage: Bacteria; Pseudomonadati; Bacteroidota; Bacteroidia; Bacteroidales; Muribaculaceae. The record is from RNAcentral.
GGUACCUUGGCCGAGUGGUCAGGCAUCGGUCUGCAAAACCGAGUACAGCAGUUCGAAUCUGCUAGGUACCU